UCUUCCGUAGUAUAGUGGUCAGUAUGUGAGCUUGUCAUCGAACAACGCUCGAGACCCGGGUUCAAUUCCCGGCGGGAGAG
This 80-nucleotide transfer RNA is filed under the name Thermothelomyces hinnuleus. RNAcentral's name for it is "tRNA-Asp". It matches the Rfam family "tRNA". Rfam says of the family: Transfer RNA (tRNA) molecules are approximately 80 nucleotides in length. Their secondary structure includes four short double-helical elements and three loops (D, anti-codon, and T loops). Further hydrogen bonds mediate the characteristic L-shaped molecular structure. tRNAs have two regions of fundamental functional importance: the anti-codon, which is responsible for specific mRNA codon recognition, and the 3' end, to which the tRNAs corresponding amino acid is attached (by aminoacyl-tRNA synthetases). tRNAs cope with the degeneracy of the genetic code in two manners: having more than one tRNA (with a specific anti-codon) for a particular amino acid; and 'wobble' base-pairing, i.e. permitting non-standard base-pairing at the 3rd anti-codon position. The record is from RNAcentral. Lineage: Eukaryota; Fungi; Ascomycota; Sordariomycetes; Sordariales; Chaetomiaceae. RNAcentral also lists the same sequence under 1 other name.